Molecule: transfer RNA, 85 nt
Filed under: Felis catus (domestic cat)
Lineage: Eukaryota; Metazoa; Chordata; Mammalia; Carnivora; Felidae
Rfam family: tRNA
About the family: Transfer RNA (tRNA) molecules are approximately 80 nucleotides in length.
Source: Rfam by way of RNAcentral
GCCUGGGGGGCUCAGUCGGUUAAGCAUCCGACUUCGGCUCGGGUUAUGAUUUCACAGUUUGUGGGUUCGAGCCCCGCAUCGGGCU